AUUGAACGCUGGCGGCAGGCUUAACACAUGCAAGUCGAGCGAGCGGCGGACGGGUGAGUAAUGUCUGGGAAACUGCCUGAUGGAGGGGGAUAACUACUGGAAACGGUAGCUAAUACCGCAUACCAUCAGAUGUGCCCAGAUGGGAUUAGCUAGUCGGUGGGGUAAUGGCUAACAUAGGCGACGAGCCCUAGCUGGUCUGAGAGGAUGACCAGUGAGACGGGAACAGAGACACGGUGCAGACUCUGACGUGAGGCAGGAGUGGGGAAUAUUGAACAAUGGUCGCAAGCAUGAUGAAGCCAUGCCGAGUGUGGGAAGAAGGCCUUCGGGUUGUAAAGCACUUUAAGCGAGGAGGCGUUACUCGCAGAAGAAGCACCGGCUAACUCCGUGCCAGCAGCCGCGGUAAUAC
This 406-nucleotide ribosomal RNA is filed under the name uncultured bacterium. RNAcentral describes it as "partial 16S ribosomal RNA". It matches the Rfam family "Bacterial small subunit ribosomal RNA", at positions 29 to 526 of the family's 1533-position model. The record is from RNAcentral.